AAACCUUCGUAAAUCCAAUAUGCAAAAAAAGGGCACUUUGUUUUAAGCAAUUAAUUUACAACUCCAAGAACCAGAAUAAAUAUCCGACAAAAAGGGAAUGAUAAGAAAAAGUCUUAGCCUAAUAAACCCACCAAACUCAUAAACAAAUACUAAAAGACAAUGUAUAAGAUACAUAAAAAUGAAGGACCAGUGAACAUUCCAAUCCAGAAAAACACAUUACCAAGGAUAUCGCGUUUUUUGAAAGCAAACAUUUGUUGGAGGUCAUAAAGAGGAAUUUGUAAUAAUUGAAAUGUUAAUAUGUAACACCGGAAUUUACCAGUUGCGAGCAGCAUCACAAAUUCGUGUACAAGAGCGGAAAUUAAAAAAGUGAGUAGAACAGCGUGAGAUUUUUUUAAUUUGAAACCGGAAAUUGAUGAAUGGUAAACAUGUCUCAUGAGAAAAACGUGGACAGGCUUAUUCCAUUCGCGCGAAAAUUCAUCCCAUGUAACUGUAUUCCACCAAGCACCAUAAAAUCCACGGUCGGCAAAUUUAGUGAUUUCAGCAAAUGCAUUAAGAAUGCAAUCAAAAAUCAGGUAAAACAUGAUAAGGUAAAGUAUGAUAGCGGGAAACAUAAUUUUGUUCAUUAACAAGGGAGCAAUGCGUAGCUUCCCUAUGAAGUCAAGAUCUUUGACAGCCACAGCACUUGGAACGAAAUACCAAUCUACAAGAGCCAAGGUGAGAGCUAGUAAACCGAAUGUGGAGCCUGCUUUAAAUGCCAUAUAAUGCCAACGGAAAUGGGCAACUCUAGGAAACUCCAUACUAUAGACAAGGGAUGGAACUAAUAAAUAAUCAACGUAAUUAAAGAAAUUGAUGUUAUCAGGAUAAACAACAUUGCCCACUUCGCUACGCAUCUGGCGUGACAAAUAUUUUGCUGUUAAAGCGACAAUUUCUUCUGCCUGCAAUGUAGAUAUCGUUUCAGCAGGCUUAUUGGGAAAAGUCAGUUCAAACGUGUAUUUCUCAUCUUUCUCGGUGGAAUUCAGGCAUUCACGAACAAACUUUAAAAGUUUUUCGUAUUCAUUAUGCAAUAUACGAAUCUCACUGAUAUAGCCCAUAUGGUGAGAAUAAGAAAAUUGUUUCAUAAUUAGAACGGCACAAUGCAGCGUGAAGAAAACACAUUGAACAAUUGGAAAAUCUCGAUGCUUAACCCAAUAGACAGCUAACACCAUAUAAAAGCCCUGCCACAAAGUUUGGAUUGUGUAACCCAAAUUAGCCCAUCUAAUCAUGUUCUUCUCAAUACACACUUGUAAACCAUAACUAAAAAAGCUGAGGCAAAUCAUAAGGAAAUCUGAGCUAAACAACACGAAAAACUGGCGAAAGACCUGUCUAGCUAGUGGUAAACCAAGCAAAGUAUCGCGUUGCCAAUAACUUCUUGCAUAUAACUGUAGUACCCAUGCAGCCAUUGAAAGCCAAAAAAGCACAUAAAACCCUCUAAACUCACUUUUUGCGAAAUAAUUAGGAUCGGUUACACGAUCAAAAAUCGAUUUACGAGGCUUAAACUUAUAAUCAUGGUAAACUUUUCCUGCAAUUAAUAAUUGUUUAUGACGAUCCAGAGGAAAUUCAACAACGUUUGCGUUAUUUUUAUCACCCUUGGAUUUGACAACGAGUCGGCAUUCGGGAAGAGCCUUCAAUAGACUCAUACUGGGAUGAACAUUUGGUUUGUUAAUCGUUGUGCUUAUAUCGCUAAGCGGAGAUGGAGUAAUCAAUAUCCUAGGAGUAUCUGUCAUACUUCAAUCGGUCAAGCUUGCAAUGAGAAGAAACAAAUAGUAUUCAAACCAACUAGCAAAUGGUGAUAAGGAGGUAAGAAAAUAAAUAUUAAUGUAGAUCUAUGAACGUUGAUUCUUUAUUAUUGUUCUGAAUAUUUUACUCUCUUCGUAAACAACUCUGUUUGAAAAUGUUUGUUGAAAAGUCUGAGUUCUGUUUAAAUUAUGAUUCGAUCAUCCCGUUGGAGGAUCAGUACCACUAGUGAGUGCACGUCACCUUCAUCUCAUUACACCCAAGUUACAUGUUCUUUGCUAACUUUAGAAGCAGACGAAGUAAACAAAGCUCUGACUAGUAAAAACAGUUGCAAUCCAAAGAAAUUGAGGUGCUAUUAGAAAUAACUUUGAAAAACUUCUCUAUUUAAAAGAUAUUUUUUCCUCAUCAAUUACUCGGGAUUUUCUCACAUUUAGUGGACCGGAAUAUAACCUUUGAGUAGAAUGUUGAUUUGCUGCUAUUGAAUUUUACCUAAGAGUGUUUUACCUAAAUACACUUAAUUCUUUUUCUUAUUUUCAAUUAAUUAUUAGCCAAACAAUCAGUUGUUGUUUGUCUUGAUUAGUAGCUGCAAAUUUUAUUUGGGAACUAUUAACUGGAAACAUAAUUUCUUUGUGCUCUUUCGAAUAGACCGGUUUUCCUCUAGGAUCGGCCAUUUUGUUUA
This 2452-nucleotide long non-coding RNA is filed under the name Schizosaccharomyces pombe (fission yeast). The record is from RNAcentral. Lineage: Eukaryota; Fungi; Ascomycota; Schizosaccharomycetes; Schizosaccharomycetales; Schizosaccharomycetaceae.